RNAcentral lists this long non-coding RNA (697 nucleotides) under Oryzias javanicus (javanese ricefish). RNAcentral describes it as "lncRNA (ENSOJAG00000021344.1)". Lineage: Eukaryota; Metazoa; Chordata; Actinopteri; Beloniformes; Adrianichthyidae. The record is from RNAcentral.
AAAAUAGAUCAAAAGAUAAUCGAAUUGGGACUUUAACAGUAGAAGAUGUAGCUAUGAAAUGUCAUCUCACAAAUGUAUGUACUUUGGUCUAAUUACCAGGUAAACUGGCAUCAAAGAAUCCUUCUGCUAAAGGAGUUGGUCCAAACCAGGGUGCAGCUGUUUUAACAUCUCCCCAGCCCACAUCGCCCAUUGCCAACCAGCACCCCCAGACUGCAGAACAGCAUCUGACAGCCAAAAACUCAAGCCUUCUGAGAACACAAUCAGCCAACGUCAGUGCUACACAGGAGCCUGUUGGGAUGUCCACCCAAAACAGCAAAGCAGUCCAACUAGGAAGGCCAGCAGCAGGCACUACUGUGCGGUCCACAAGGACAGGGAAUUCCUCCCUCCUGACUCCCAGUGAUGUCCCUGCUCCGAAAUCAAGAUUUUCCCCCACAUAUCAGGCCAGUGUUGUUCAGAGGAACAACUCUGUCCCACUGGGGCAUCCUUACCAAGCUCCCUAUUCCACUUACAAUCCAGCCCCAUCUCCUAGUGCCCGUCCAUACCCUAAUGGCACGUUUCUUUACUGGGGCGAUUUGAGCCGGACACUGGCUUUUGCCUGGGAACUUCACGUCUACGGGUCCGGAAGCCUCUUCCUCCUUCUGUUUGCUGGCGCUGCUCUAGGUCUCACGCUGUCCCCUGCUACCAACUGCCCCCAUCG